AGUGAACGCUGGCGGUAGGCCUAACACAUGCAAGUCGAACGGCAGCACAGUAGGAGCUUGCUCUUACGGGUGGCGAGUGGCGGACGGGUGAGGAAUACAUCGGAAUCUACUUUUUCGUGGGGGAUAAUGUAGGGAAACUUACGCGAAUACCGCAUACGACCUACGGGUGAAAGCAGGGGAUCUUCGGACCUUGCGCGAUUGAAUGAGCCGAUGUCGGAUUAGCUAGUUGGCGGGGUAAAGGCCCACCAAGGCGACGAUCCGUAGCUGGUCUGAGAGGAUGAUCAGCCACACUGGAACUGAGACACGGUCCAGACUCCUACGGGAGGCAGCAGUGGGGAAUAUUGGACAAUGGGGGAAAGCCUGAUCCAGCCAUACCGCGUGGGUGAAGAAGGCCUUCGGGUUGUAAAGCCCUUUUGUUGGGAAAGAAAAGCAGCAGGUUAAUACCCCGCUGUUCUGACGGUACCCAAAGAAUAAGCACCGGCUAACUUCGUG
Molecule: ribosomal RNA, 492 nt
Filed under: uncultured bacterium
Lineage: Bacteria
Description: partial 16S ribosomal RNA
Rfam family: Bacterial small subunit ribosomal RNA
Source: RNAcentral